Molecule: transfer RNA, 73 nt
Filed under: Camelus bactrianus (Bactrian camel)
Lineage: Eukaryota; Metazoa; Chordata; Mammalia; Artiodactyla; Camelidae
Also listed under: 2 other names
Rfam family: tRNA
About the family: Transfer RNA (tRNA) molecules are approximately 80 nucleotides in length. Their secondary structure includes four short double-helical elements and three loops (D, anti-codon, and T loops).
Source: Rfam by way of RNAcentral
GAGGGUAUAGCUCAAGUGGUAGAGCACAUGCUUAGCAUGCAUGAUGUCCUGGGUUCAGUCCCCAGUACCUCCU